AUACAUGCAAGUCGAGCGAGGCAGCAAUGCCGAGCGGCGAACGGGUGAGUAACGCGUAAGCAAUCUGCCCCAUAUCAGGAAAUACCCGUGCCAACGCGCGGUUAAUGUCCAGGAGAGUGGCCUUCCGCAUGGAAGGUUGACUAGAGAUUUAUCGGUAUGGGAUGAGCUUGCGUCCGAUUAGCUAGUUGGCGGGGCAACGGCCCACCAAGGCGACGAUCGGUAGCCGGCCUGAGAGGGUGAUCGGCCACAUUGGGACUGAGAUACGGCCCAGACUCCUACGGGAGGCAGCAGUAGGGAAUAUUGCACAAUGGGGGAAACCCUGAUGCAGCAACGCCACGUGUGGGAAGAAGCAUUUCGGUGUGUAAACCACUGUCAUGAGGGAAUAAGGCCCGCCUUCGGACGGGAUUGAAUGUACCUUGAGAGGAAGCACCGGCAAACUUCGUGCCAGCAGCGGC
This 455-nucleotide ribosomal RNA is filed under the name uncultured bacterium. RNAcentral's name for it is "bacterial SSU rRNA". It matches the Rfam family "Bacterial small subunit ribosomal RNA", at positions 51 to 518 of the family's 1533-position model. The record is from RNAcentral.